RNAcentral lists this ribosomal RNA (259 nucleotides) under uncultured bacterium. RNAcentral's name for it is "partial 16S ribosomal RNA". It matches the Rfam family "Bacterial small subunit ribosomal RNA", at positions 524 to 776 of the family's 1533-position model. The record is from RNAcentral.
UACGGAGGGUGCGAGCGUUGUCCGGAAUCAUUGGGCGUAAAGGGCGCGUAGGUGGCCACUUCAAGCGUGCGGUGAAAGUCGGGGGCUCAACCCCUGAUCGGCCGUGCGAACUGGGGGGCUGGAGCACUGUAGAGGCAGGCGGAAUUCCGGGUGUAGCGGUGGAAUGCGGUAGAGAGUCCGGAAGAACACCGGUGGCGAAGGCGGCCUGCUGGGCAGUUUUGCUGACACUGAGGCGCGGACAGCGUGGGGAGCAAACAGG